Long non-coding RNA from Musa acuminata AAA Group (dessert banana), 9178 nucleotides. RefSeq lists it as uncharacterized. The transcript is spliced from 4 exons. NCBI's taxonomy places the organism in Eukaryota, Viridiplantae, Streptophyta, Magnoliopsida, Zingiberales, Musaceae. The record is from RefSeq and is a predicted model, not a curated record.
AUCCCCCACUUUUAAAAAUGUAUUAAUAAGGAUUUAUAUGUAAAUUGGGGGACCUAUAUGUAAAUAUAGAAAUUACAAGGACUAAACUGCUAAGUUGCAAAAAGAAAAAAAAAAGAAAAGGAAAAACCAAAAAUUCGGUAUUAUCCCACCGCCUCCCACGCACUCUGUUUCUUUCCAGAAACAGAGAGAGCGGUGGGGCGUGAGGAGAAGAAGGAGAGUGGUUGAAGAAAAGAAGAAGAAGAGGGAAAAGAAGAGAGGAGGAAGAAGAGAGGAAGAAGAGAGGAAGAAGAGGGAGAAGAGAAGAAGAUGAAGAAGAAGAAGAAGAGGAGGUGGCUGCAGCGAGGGCUGCAGCGAGAAGCUGUGGGGCGUGGGGAGAAGAAGAGAGGAAGAAGAGGGAGAAGAGAAGAAGAAGAAGAAGAAGCAGAAGAAGAAGAAGAAGAAGAAGAAGAAGAAGAAGAAGAAGAAGAAGAAGAAGAAGAGAGGAUGAUAGCUGCGGCAAGGCUGCAGCGAGGAGGUGUGUGGGGUUGGGGAGGAAAAGGGAAGAGGAGAAGAAAAGAAGGAGAAGAAGAGGGAAAAGAGAGGGAAGAGGGAGAGGAGCGAGAGGUGGCAGCAGCUAGGGCUGCAGCACCUCUGUUUCCUGCAGGUGGAAACAGAGGAGAGGUGGGGCGUUCGAAGAGGAGAAGAAGAAGAAGAAGGAAGAGAAGAGGAAGAGGAAGCAGGAGAAGAGGUUGUGAUACCUCUGUUUCCUGCAGAGGAAACAGAGGAGAGGGUGUGUGUGACGUCGGGGAGAAGAAGGGGAGGAAGGAGAAGAAGAGAAGAAGAAGAAAGGAAGGAGAGGAAGAAGAGAAGGGAAAGGAGGAGCUGCGGCUGCGGCGGUGGCAGCUGCAGCUGGAAGAGAAGGAGAGGAAGAGAUGGUGAGGAAGAAGAGAAGAAGUAGAAGCGGGUGAAGAGGCGGCACCUCUGUUUCCUGCAGGAGGAAACAGAGGAAAGGAGGUGCUGUUCGUCGGGGAGAAGAAGGGGGCUGCAGCUGCGGCGAUGGCAGCUGCAGCUGGAAGAGAAGAAGAAGAGGAAGAUGAGCAGGGGAGGAGGGAGAGGUUGCGGCCGUGGCUGCGGCCGCGACUGCAGCAGUUGCAGCGGGGAGAGAAGAAGAAGAAAGGAAGGAGAAGGAAGAGGAGAAGGGAAAGAAGUAGCUGCGGCUGCGGUUGUGGCAGCUGCAGCUGUGGUAGGGAAAGAGGAAGAGAAAAAGGAAAGGAAGAAGAAGAGAAAGGGAAGGAGAGGAAGAAGAGAGGAAGAGGAGAAGGGGCUGCGGCUGCGGCGAUGGCAGCUGCAGCUGUGGCUGGGAAAGAAGAGAAGGAAAGAAAGAAGGAAUGAGAGUAAGAGAGAGCAGGUGACUGUGCCUCGAUGUUCGACACGUGAUGUAGUUACGAAGAAAGGAAGAAAACGGGAGCACAAAACGAAACAGAGAGAGGACACGGAGGAAAAGUAGAAAGAUUGGACUAGCACCUUCCUUGGAUAUUCAGAUCAAAAUAUUUGAAAGGUCAGCUUGUCACUCUUCGAGAUGUUUGAUUUGGGCUGAGGCAGUGGAUAGCUAUUCAGAAUUAUGGGCAAGUCCUGUUAGUUGUUAUGCUAUUGUUGUAUAAGCAUAUUUUGUAUGUAAUGAAUUGUUCUGAUGAUCGAAAUGGAUAUACUGUGUAAAAGUGUUAGAAGAUCUCUCUUAUUUGGAAUUUCGGAAUGUUAAAUCUAAUUUAUGACGAUAUGAACUUGUGGUGAAUAGUUGGAGUUCUGAUUGUAUAAUUUAUUUAGCUUGUGGAUUUAUAAAUGUUGUUCAUGUUUGUCAAGUUGGCUUGGGUUGCCAUAAAUGUGAAUUAUCGAGUGAUGUGAUAUAUGAUUAUAAACUGCACAGGUUUUAUGGAUGUGAAUAUGAAUAGAAUGUUUUCAGUGUCCUCAAACGUUAGUUUGGAUCCUGGAUUGGUCUGUGAUGAAAAAUUUUAAAAAUCAUGGAUAUUUUGAGGGGCGUGAUAGAGGUGGUAUCAGAGCAUUGUUUGAGGAUUACUGAAAUAUUUGAUAUGUUGACGUGCAAAAUAUAUUGAGGUCUAAUGAACUAUAGUGAUUGGUGGAAAUUUUCCUUACUGCAUUUUAGGAAUCUGGGAUGAUGAGGACAUUUGGUCCUCCUAUAUCAUUUGUUUAUGAUUAAUUAAGGGGAAUGAAAGGAUUGAUUGGGGAUUUUGAAUCAGAGUGGCGCAGCAGAAGCAUGAUGAACCUAAUUUCAUUGGUGGUAGAAAAAUGGAUGAUGCAAAUGGAGAAGAUAUUUGAUGUACAAAAUUGUUUUGAUGAUCAAAAGAUUUCUUUUGCCACCUUAUAUUGGAAGUAGAGGCUGAUUAUUAUUGGCAACAAUGAAAAGAAUUUUUGGAGAUCAGUGACAAGAAUGAUAAGGACAAGUUUACCAAUAAGAAUAUGAUUGGAAAUGAAUCAGAAAGUAAUGACAAGAGGGUCAAGACAUUUGGAUUUGAAAAGGAAAGUCACCACCAAAGACUUAAUCAUGUGUGAAUUACAAGUUAAAUUAUGAAACAAGUUUGUGUUUUCGGGUGAUUAGAGCCUAUUUUGCUUAUGGAAAGUUUGAUCAUAAAAUAAAAGUUUGCCCUUUGAACAAGAAGAAAGAGUCACUGCCUCCUAAAUCAUCAGCCCAUGUCAGAGUGUAUGCUAUCACUGAAUAUGAUUCUAUGACUUCUGAAUUAGUGGUCGAAGGUAUUAUGUAUGUUUAUGAAAGAAUGCAAAUAUUUGUUUGAACAUGGGUUCUAUCUACGAUUUGAUUCGUAACAUAUUGCCUAUCACUUGGGUAUUCAACCUAGACCACUGUAUUAUGUGAUAUAUGUAAGUACAAUCAUUGGAGAUUCUUUGAUAACGAACUUGAAUCUGGUCCUCUUGUCUGAUUUUUGUUGGAGAACUUGAACUUUUGCUGAUUUAGUUCUCCUAGAGAUUUGGAGUUAUGAUAUUAUACUUGGUAUGCAUUGGCUAUCUUCUUAUCAUACCAGUAUGGAUUGGUAUAUAACAAAUGAUCACUUUUUGCAUAUUUGAUCAGCCGAUCUUUUAUUUUGAGAGUAUUGGACAUUAUUUAUCUCCUUGCCUAAUGUAUCCCAGGAUGACUUGCCUGGAUUACCUCCAAAUGUGAUUUUGCUUUUGAUUUGGUCCUUGGGACAAUCCCUAUAUCUAAGCCUCUCUGCAGAAUGAUAUCAUUUGAGUAAGUGGAAUUAGAAAAACAACUACAAGGAUUAUUAAAUGAGGAUUUUAUUUGGCUUAAUAUUUUAUCAUGGGGUGCUCUGGUGUUAGUUAAAAAGAUGGAUGGAACAUGGAGGCUUUGUAUUGAUUAUGGAUAGUUGAAUCAGGUGAUCAUCAAAAACGAGUAUUUUCUGAAGUAACGAUUUGCUUGAUUAAUUACAGGUGCGCAAGUAUUUUUGAAAGAUUGAUUGAAGGUCGGGUUUACCAUCUAUUGAGAAUCAAGAAGGAGAAUAUUUCGGUCACUCUUGGAAAAUUGUGUAAUUGUAUUGAAUUGAUGAAAUUAUUUAAGAGUAGGAGGAGGAAAUAAAGAAAUCAUAAUCCUCAUCUUUUCAUCGAUUGAGCUAUGACCAAUUUAGAGGACUAAAUUUUCUUUUAAGGGGGGGAGAGUGUAAUAUCCCCCACUUUUAAAAAUGUAUUAAUAAGGAUUUAUAUGUAAAUUGGGGGACCUAUAUGUAAAUAUAGAAAUUACAAGGACUAAACUGCUAAGUUGCAAAAAGAAAAAAAAAAGAAAAGGAAAAACCAAAAAUUCGGUAUUAUCCCACCGCCUCCCACGCACUCUAUUUCUUUCCAGAAACAGAGAGAGCGGUGGGGCGUGAGGAGAAGAAGGAGAGUGGUUGAAGAAAAGAAGAAGAAGAGGGAAAAGAAGAGAGGAGGAAGAAGAGAGGAAGAAGAGAGGAAGAAGAGAGGAAGAAGAGGGAGAAGAGAAGAAGAUGAAGAAGAAGAAGAAGAGGAGGUGGCUGCAGCGAGGGCUGCAGCGAGAAGCUGUGGGGCGUGGGGAGAAGAAGAGAGGAAGAAGAGGGAGAAGAGAAGAAGAAGAAGAAGAAGCAGAAGAAGAAGAAGAAGAAGAAGAAGAAGAAGAAGAAGAAGAAGAAGAAGAAGAAGAGAGGAUGAUAGCUGCGGCAAGGCUGCAGCGAGGAGGUGUGUGGGGUUGGGGAGGAAAAGGGAAGAGGAGAAGAAAAGAAGGAGAAGAAGAGGGAAAAGAGAGGGAAGAGGGAGAGGAGCGAGAGGUGGCAGCAGCUAGGGCUGCAGCACCUCUGUUUCCUGCAGGUGGAAACAGAGGAGAGGUGGGGCGUUCGAAGAGGAGAAGAAGAAGAAGAAGGAAGAGAAGAGGAAGAGGAAGCAGGAGAAGAGGUUGUGAUACCUCUGUUUCCUGCAGAGGAAACAGAGGAGAGGGUGUGUGUGACGUCGGGGAGAAGAAGGGGAGGAAGGAGAAGAAGAGAAGAAGAAGAAAGGAAGGAGAGGAAGAAGAGAAGGGAAAGGAGGAGCUGCGGCUGCGGCGGUGGCAGCUGCAGCUGGAAGAGAAGGAGAGGAAGAGAUGGUGAGGAAGAAGAGAAGAAGUAGAAGCGGGUGAAGAGGCGGCACCUCUGUUUCCUGCAGGAGGAAACAGAGGAAAGGAGGUGCUGUUCGUCGGGGAGAAGAAGGGGGCUGCAGCUGCGGCGAUGGCAGCUGCAGCUGGAAGAGAAGAAGAAGAGGAAGAUGAGCAGGGGAGGAGGGAGAGGUUGCGGCCGUGGCUGCGGCCGCGACUGCAGCAGUUGCAGCGGGGAGAGAAGAAGAAGAAAGGAAGGAGAAGGAAGAGGAGAAGGGAAAGAAGUAGCUGCGGCUGCGGUUGUGGCAGCUGCAGCUGUGGUAGGGAAAGAGGAAGAGAAAAAGGAAAGGAAGAAGAAGAGAAAGGGAAGGAGAGGAAGAAGAGAGGAAGAGGAGAAGGGGCUGCGGCUGCGGCGAUGGCAGCUGCAGCUGUGGCUGGGAAAGAAGAGAAGGAAAGAAAGAAGGAAUGAGAGUAAGAGAGAGCAGGUGACUGUGCCUCGAUGUUCGACACGUGAUGUAGUUACGAAGAAAGGAAGAAAACGGGAGCACAAAACGAAACAGAGAGAGGACACGGAGGAAAAGUAGAAAGAUUGGACUAGCACCUUCCUUGGAUAUUCAGAUCAAAAUAUUUGAAAGGUCAGCUUGUCACUCUUCGAGAUGUUUGAUUUGGGCUGAGGCAGUGGAUAGCUAUUCAGAAUUAUGGGCAAGUCCUGUUGGUUGUUAUGCUAUUGUUGUAUAAGCAUAUUUUGUAUGUAAUGAAUUGUUCUGAUGAUCGAAAUGGAUAUACUGUGUAAAAGUGUUAGAAGAUCUCUCUUAUUUGGAAUUUCGGAAUGUUAAAUCUAAUUUAUGACGAUAUGAACUUGUGGUGAAUAGUUGGAGUUCUGAUUGUAUAAUUUAUUUAGCUUGUGGAUUUAUAAAUGUUGUUCAUGUUUGUCAAGUUGGCUUGGGUUGCCAUAAAUGUGAAUUAUCGAGUGAUGUGAUAUAUGAUUAUAAACUGCACAGGUUUUAUGGAUGUGAAUAUGAAUAGAAUGUUUUCAGUGUCCUCAAACGUUAGUUUGGAUCCUGGAUUGGUCUGUGAUGAAAAAUUUUAAAAAUCAUGGAUAUUUUGAGGGGCGUGAUAGAGGUGGUAUCAGAGCAUUGUUUGAGGAUUACUGAAAUAUUUGAUAUGUUGACGUGCAAAAUAUAUUGAGGUCUAAUGAACUAUAGUGAUUGGUGGAAAUUUUCCUUGCUGCAUUUUAGGAAUCUGGGAUGAUGAGGACAUUUGGUCCUCCUAUAUCAUUUGUUUAUGAUUAAUUAAGGGGAAUGAAAGGAUUGAUUGGGGAUUUUGAAUCAGAGUGGCGCAGCAGAAGCAUGAUGAACCUAAUUUUAUUGGUGGUAGAAAAAUGGAUGAUGCAAAUGGAGAAGAUAUUUGAUGUACAAAAUUGUUUUGAUGAUCAAAAGAUUUCUUUUGCCACCUUAUAUUGGAAGUAGAGGCUGAUUAUUAUUGGCAACAAUGAAAAGAAUUUUUGGAGAUCAGUGACAAGAAUGAUAAGGACAAGUUUACCAAUAAGAAUAUGAUUGGAAAUGAAUCAGAAAGUAAUGACAAGAGGGUCAAGACAUUUGGAUUUGAAAAGGAAAGUCACCACCAAAGACUUAAUCAUGUGUGAAUUACAAGUUAAAUUAUGAAACAAGUUUGUGUUUUCGGGUGAUUAGAGCCUAUUUUGCUUAUGGAAAGUUUGAUCAUAAAAUAAAAGUUUGCCCUUUGAACAAGAAGAAAGAGUCACUGCCUCCUAAAUCAUCAGCCCAUGUCAGAGUGUAUGCUAUCACUGAAUAUGAUUCUAAGACUUCUGAAUUAGUGGUCGAAGGUAUUAUGUAUGUUUAUGAAAGAAUGCAAAUAUUUGUUUGAACAUGGGUUCUAUCUACGAUUUGAUUCGUAACAUAUUGCCUAUCACUUGGGUAUUCAACCUAGACCACUGUAUUAUGUGAUAUAUGUAAGUACAAUCAUUGGAGAUUCUUUGAUAACGAACUUGAAUCUGGUCCUCUUGUCUGAUUUUUGUUGGAGAACUUGAACUUUUGCUGAUUUAGUUCUCCUAGAGAUUUGGAGUUAUGAUAUUAUACUUGGUAUGCAUUGGCUAUCUUCUUAUCAUACCAGUAUGGAUUGGUAUAUAACAAAUGAUCACUUUUUGCAUAUUUGAUCAGCCGAUCUUUUAUUUUGAGAGUAUUGGACAUUAUUUAUCUCCUUGCCUAAUGUAUCCCAGGAUGACUUGCCUGGAUUACCUCCAAAUGUGAUUUUGCUUUUGAUUUGGUCCUUGGGACAAUCCCUAUAUCUAAGCCUCUCUGCAGAAUGAUAUCAUUUGAGUAAGUGGAAUUAGAAAAACAACUACAAGGAUUAUUAAAUGAGGAUUUUAUUUGGCUUAAUAUUUUAUCAUGGGGUGCUCUGGUGUUAGUUAAAAAGAUGGAUGGAACAUGGAGGCUUUGUAUUGAUUAUGGAUAGUUGAAUCAGGUGAUCAUCAAAAAUGAGUAUUUUCUGAAGUAACGAUUUGCUUGAUUAAUUACAGGUGCGCAAGUAUUUUUGAAAGAUUGAUUGAAGGUCGGGUUUACCAUCUAUUGAGAAUCAAGAAGGAGAAUAUUUCGGUCACUCUUGGAAAAUUGUGUAAUUGUAUUGAAUUGAUGAAAUUAUUUAAGAGUAGGAGGAGGAAAUAAAGAAAUCAUAAUCCUCAUCUUUUCAUCGAUUGAGCUAUGACCAAUUUAGAGGACUAAAUUUUCUUUUAAGGGGGGGAGAGUGUAAUAUCCCCCACUUUUAAAAAUGUAUUAAUAAGGAUUUAUAUGUAAAUUGGGGGACCUAUAUGUAAAUAUAGAAAUUACAAGGACUAAACUGCUAAGUUGCAAAAAGAAAAAAAAAAGAAAAGGAAAAACCAAAAAUUCGGUAUUAUCCCACCGCCUCCCACGCACUCUGUUUCUUUCCAGAAACAGAGAGAGCGGUGGGGCGUGAGGAGAAGAAGGAGAGUGGUUGAAGAAAAGAAGAAGAAGAGGGAAAAGAAGAGAGGAGGAAGAAGAGAGGAAGAAGAGAGGAAGAAGAGGGAGAAGAGAAGAAGAUGAAGAAGAAGAAGAAGAGGAGGUGGCUGCAGCGAGGGCUGCAGCGAGAAGCUGUGGGGCGUGGGGAGAAGAAGAGAGGAAGAAGAGGGAGAAGAGAAGAAGAAGAAGAAGAAGCAGAAGAAGAAGAAGAAGAAGAAGAAGAAGAAGAAGAAGAAGAAGAAGAGAGGAUGAUAGCUGCGGCAAGGCUGCAGCGAGGAGGUGUGUGGGGUUGGGGAGGAAAAGGGAAGAGGAGAAGAAAAGAAAGAGAAGAAGAGGGAAAAGAGAGGGAAGAGGGAGAGGAGCGAGAGGUGGCAGCAGCUAGGGCUGCAGCACCUCUGUUUCCUGCAGGUGGAAACAGAGGAGAGGUGGGGCGUUCGAAGAGGAGAAGAAGAAGAAGAAGGAAGAGAAGAGGAAGAGGAAGCAGGAGAAGAGGUUGUGAUACCUCUGUUUCCUGCAGAGGAAACAGAGGAGAGGGUGUGUGUGACGUCGGGGAGAAGAAGGGGAGGAAGGAGAAGAAGAGAAGAAGAAGAAAGGAAGGAGAGGAAGAAGAGAAGGGAAAGGAGGAGCUGCGGCUGCGGCGGUGGCAGCUGCAGCUGGAAGAGAAGGAGAGGAAGAGAUGGUGAGGAAGAAGAGAAGAAGUAGAAGCGGGUGAAGAGGCGGCACCUCUGUUUCCUGCAGGAGGAAAUAGAGGAAAGGAGGUGCUGUUCGUCGGGGAGAAGAAGGGGGCUGCAGCUGCGGCGAUGGCAGCUGCAGCUGGAAGAGAAGAAGAAGAGGAAGAUGAGCAGGGGAGGAGGGAGAGGUUGCGGCCGUGGCUGCGGCCGCGACUGCAGCAGUUGCAGCGGGGAGAGAAGAAGAAGAAAGGAAAGAGAAGGAAGAGGAGAAGGGAAAGAAGUAGCUGCGGCUGCGGUUGUGGCAGCUGCAGCUGUGGUAGGGAAAGAGGAAGAGAAAAAGGAAAGGAAGAAGAAGAGAAAGGGAAGGAGAGGAAGAAGAGAGGAAGAGGAGAAGGGGUUGCGGCUGCGGCGAUGGCAGCUGCAGCUGUGGCUGGGAAAGAAGAGAAGGAAAGAAAGAAGGAAUGAGAGUAAGAGAGAGCAGGUGACUGUGCCUCGAUGUUCAACACGUGAUGUAGUUACGAAGAAAGGAAGAAAACGGGAGCACAAAACGAAACAGAGAGAGGACACGGAGGAAAAGUAGAAAGAUUGGACUAGCACCUUCCUUGGAUAUUCAGAUCAAAAUAUUUGAAAGGUCAGCUUGUCACUCUUCGAGAUGUUUGAUUUGGGCUGAGGCAGUGGAUAGCUAUUCAGAAUUAUGGGCAAGUCCUGUUGGUUGUUAUGCUAUUGUUGUAUAAGCAUAUUUUGUAUGUAAUGAAUUGUUCUGAUGAUCGAAAUGGAUAUACUGUGUAAAAGUGUUAGAAGAUCUCUCUUAUUUGGAAUUUCGGAAUGUUAAAUCUAAUUUAUGACGAUAUGAACUUGUGGUGAAUAGUUGGAGUUCUGAUUGUAUAAUUUAUUUAGCUUGUGGAUUUAUAAAUGUUGUUUAUGUUUGUCAA